UUUUCCUUCCUGGGAUGAGGAGUUGUUAUUUGCCAUGUGUUUCCAGUAUGCCUUUUCUGCCUUGGAGAUAGCUGACCUUGGACUGAACCUGCUAGAAGAUUUGGGAUGCCCUACUGAGGUCCUGAGUCACACAGAAUAUGCUGAAUCAGCCUGCUGCAGAAAGGCAGGUCUGCCCAUGCCCUACCAGGUCCCAAGUCAAACGGAAGACACCAAUCACCCCGCUGCAGGCAGGCAGCCACCUGGUUCCACACUACAAAGACGCAGAGGACACCAGACCACCAGACCAAGGUACUGAGUCCCGCUGCUCCCGGUCCAGAGGUAGGGGCUUCUGAGCCUCCGUCCCACUGCUCCUG
This 353-nucleotide long non-coding RNA is filed under the name Heterocephalus glaber (naked mole-rat). RNAcentral describes it as "lncRNA (ENSHGLG00100040221.1)". The record is from RNAcentral. Lineage: Eukaryota; Metazoa; Chordata; Mammalia; Rodentia; Bathyergidae.